AUCGACGUUGAUAAGAACACGUGUAUUUGUGUGCGUUUGCGACACAUAUUCGCAUCCUCCCGUAGACGUACAUACUCACCCUACGCCGCCGCCGGACGCACGAGAUCGGUUGCCGCCGCGUUCACAUAGCUCUCUCUUCACCGGGUCUACUGCGACUCAUUGAUAAAGUUUGCACGUGUGCAGCCACACGCGCUUACCCCCGAGGUGCUGCUUCUUGACGCGCAUCUUGCCUCUUUCUCUCUCUCAUGACCUCCACGGUGUCGUCGUUCGACGCUGCGAUGCGCAAGGCUCGCGCACAGGUGGGGAAGCGGCGUAUCUUUCUGAAAUCUUUCUUCGCCGACUUUGACCGUCUGCACUGCGGCCGUAUCACAGCCGCGCAGUUUGCCCGCGUCUUGACGAACAACGAUGUGCACCUCUCUCCAGACGAGAUGCGUGUGCUGUCGCACAGCUUCGCACCUGCGAUUGCGGCCGGGACUGAGGCGGCGGCUGCCAGAGCUGCCGCGGGUGCGUCGGGCAGCGACGACUCAGAGGUGCUCUACGAGAACUUCCUCGCCGCUCUCGAGGGGGGACCGGGCAGCAGCGCCUCUGUUUGCCGCUCCACUCCAAGUACCGCUCUCACACCGGCUGAGGAGGCCCGCCUGCGCCCGUUCAGAACGAUGCUGCAGCAGGCUAUUCAGGCACACGGCACCUCGCUGACGGCCCCGCUCCGCGACUUGGACCCUCUUCGCACUGGCCGCGUCACCGUCGCGCAGUUCCGUCGCUGUCUGCCCUUCUCCGCCUCUCUCACGGAGGAGGCGAUGGAUCUGCUCGCGAAGCAGUACAGCGACGGUCACGGGGGCGUGAACUACAUGGCGUGGUGCCGCGCCAUGGACCCGUCCCUCAACGGACAGGCGAACGGCGCGAACACGCUCAGGGCAGCUGACGCCGCACGGCUGCACGCCAUUGACCAGGAUCAGUCGAACCAGUGGAAGACGGGCUCCGUCUCGUCGCUCGUGUGCCCCGACUCCUUCACCAACCCACGACUCUCGGCUGAGGAGUUGGUUGCCGUGUUUCGCCAACAGUGCGCUCUGUACCGCCUGCGCUACGAGGACGCCUUCGCCGACUACGACAGGAUGAAGACGGGCAGGGUCACGGUGGCGCAGUUCGAGUCCGUGCUGGGCCGCAUGCCCCUCGUGCACUUUGCGCUGCGGCCCGAGAACAUCGAUACCCUUGCCCGCGCGUACAUCAGCAGCGACAACGGCGUGUCCGUGAACGGCGCGCCGAGCGGGCCGGUGGUGGAGUAUCGUGCGUUUCUCCGUGACAUUCAUCCCUCGCAGGCGCUGGAGACGGCGGCGGAUGGCAGCGCGGCCCCGACUAACUUCUUCGCCACCACUCACGCCGCCAACACCUACUUGACGAGCUCCGAAGACCAACGAAAAGCCGAGGCGCUUCUCUCGCAGUUGCGCGCUCUCGUGCAGUCCAACCGGAUUUGCGUCAGCCCCGUGCUCCGCGACUUCGACCGGGUGCGGAAGGGCAUCUACGAGCACCGCACCUGCACCCGCACCCGCUUUGCGCGCGGUCUUGCGACGCAGAACAUCAUGCUGCCGCCUGAGCAGCUUCAGCUUCUGAUCCGCAAGUACACGGUGCCCAACCCGGACGGGUCACCGAGCAGCGAGGUAAACUACUACUUGUUCGUCCAGGACGUCGAUCCGUCGCAGGCGAGUGGUGGCAAAGGCACCGGUAGUGAUGGCGCGCGUAGCACCACUGGCCUAGUUGUGCCCUCGUCGACUAGUGCCGCAUCUACCACAGCCGCCGCCGUCGCACCGGCGACGUCGCUCACGAAGGAGAGCGUGCUGGCAAGCGUCGCGCUGCAGGUUGUGGAGCGCCGCCUGCACGUGUCUACCUUCUUUGCAGAUGCCGAUCCCCUCCACAGCGGUACCGUACCGAAGGAUCGUCUAGGCAUCGCGCUGGGGCAGGCCGGUGUGCAGCUGCUGCCGGGGGCGCUGGCGACACUGCAGAGCGCGUUUGCAUCGACGCACAUCCGCGAUGGCGUGGAUACUCAGAAGCUGGUGACGGAGGUCGAGGCAGCCGUCGCGGCACUGCGUGCCAGCCGCGCUGCGGAGAAGACAGGUGGCGCAGGUGGCGAAGGCACCGCCCAGGAUGCGGAGCGCGCGGCGCAGGUGGCAGCUAUCCUGAGCCGCGUGCGCCACAACGUCCGCGUGCAUAACGCGCUGUUGAUGCCCUUCUUCGCAGACUUUGAUCGCCACCACCGCGGCGUCAUCACCCCGAUUCAGUUCGCGCAGGCCUGUGUGCGGCACCACCUGCCCUUGACCCAAACGGAGAUCGACACACUGGCGUUGUGGUACAGCGCCGGCGACGCGGUGUCGCCGGGCACGGACGGCGUGCGCUACCUCACCUUUGUGCGAGACGUCGGCUGCGAGGAGGAGUCGGUGCAGCACGCGUUGGCGCAGAAGGCCAGCGCGGCAGGCAGCACGGUGAGCACGGACUUGUCGGCGUCUGCCCGCCGGGCUGUCGAGGCGGCAGCGGACGUGGAUGAGGUACUUACCGGCAUCUGCGUUUUUCUACAGGAGCGGCGGCCGUGCCUGUCCGAGUUCUUUCCUGACGGCGAUGAGCUUCGACACCACCACGUAACGCCCUCACGGUUCCGCCACUGCAUAACGAUGCUGGGACUGACCGACAUGACGGAGGCGCAGCUUAGCGCGCUGGAGGGCGCCUUCGCAUCAGCCAAGUGUCCGGGCGACAUCGACUACCCAGCCUUUGUUUGCACAGUACGGGCCAUGCUGGCCGACGGCGCAGGCGCGGCCGCCGUGUCGCAGCGUCGGCUGCAAGGGUCUGCAUCUUCUGGCCGCGGCAACGAUGAUGUGACUGGAGACUCAGCCGCUACACAGACGACCGCCGCGCAGGGCUUUGCGGUCGCCACGCUCAAGCACAUUCAGCGCACCCUCAAGGCACGCCGCACGGCCACCAUCGCUGCCUUCCGCGAAUACGACCGUGCGCGCAAGGGCUACGUUACCGAGGGCCAGUUCUUUGCCUGCUUGCAGGCGCUCGGCGUGCCGCUGAAACCGGACGAGGCGGCAGCACUGCUGCAGCUUUACGCGGUAGGCAAUGGGCAGGUGCACUACCUGGCCUUUGCGCACGAGGUGGACGAUGAGUCACUCAUCGCCGUGAGCUAGCGCACAGUCGGGCGCGGAAAGGCGCGAGUGUAUUGCCUACAAUGCCGACGCAGGCACACGGGGGAUCCGCUUGUGACGUAAAGUCUUGCUACUGCUGCUGCAACCGCGACAUAGGCGGUGACUCAGUAAAACAUACACACGCACGCGCUGUAACCUACAGAACUUUAUGUACAUUAUGCCUGUCGGUAAUAGGCAGAAGGGCGGAGGCGUCCGAAGUAAAAAGGAAAACAAAUGAGGGAGGGAAAAGGGGGAGAGGUAUUGUUGGCCGAUGCAGGCGCGUGAUGUUUGCUGUCUUCUGCGCGAUACAGGGGGAGUGUACGCGCUGCGUGCACCACACCGGAGAGGUCCGUGGUGCACCUUCACCUCCUCUCUUUCCUUUGCUUUUGUGUAUGUGUGUGUGUGUGUGCGUGUGUGUGACGUUUGAUGUAUAGAUGUCGAUGCUCUCUUCUGUUUCACCGUAGAUGUCUCUUUUUUUUCGGGUUGGUGGAGGCUCGUGUGCUCAUGAGCGGGUUCGAGGUGGCCUGCCUGCCUGCCCGCCUGCCUGACGGGGCGGAAGGGAGGAGGGACGGGUGGGUGGCACCCAUCUUGACUUUCUUGCCUCGCUUUUUCGCACGGUUGCGCGAGGGUGACACGCGGGCAUGGGAGCGGUGUUGCAACGCGUGUAUAUUUUCUUUGCCUUUCUGUCUGCCCGUACACAGGUGUCUGUACAUGCCUCUAUCGAUACAUCUGUAUCGAUCUAUAUGCGUCGAUUUGUCGUUGCUCUGUCUCUUGUUGUUCUCUGCACUCACGCCGACCUCCUCCUUGUCCUUCUCCUUCUGUGCCUUCGCGCCUUCUUACUAUACUGUGUCCUCUUCUCCCUGGUCCUUUUAUUUAUGUUUGCUCGAUUUUGUUGUUGUCUCGCUCCUUAUUUUUCGCUGAUCAUGCCCUUGAUCGACCCCUUUGCCCUUCUGAUUGGGAUGAGCCACUUGCGGGGACUCGCAUGCUAGGGUACGCGUCAGACCGUCUCCGCAGCCGCGCAACCGAGAUACACCAGAAGAACCGGAAGCACCACACAAAACAAACGGCACCGUGAUGAGAGAGCUUCUUUUUUUCUUUUGGGGAAAGAGGGGCAUGAGCGUGUGACAUGUCUUCUCUCACGCCCCCUUCCAAAACGAUGCCACCUUCCUUCCCACUCGCACGGAGUCGUACUCGCUGAGCGACGGCACGGAGGCGAACAAGAAAAAGGAGAACAUGCUUUCCUUCCUUUUCCUUUACCUCAUUCCCCACCC
This 4441-nucleotide unclassified non-coding RNA is filed under the name Leishmania donovani. RNAcentral describes it as "gene:LdHU3.11.1010(CDS-product:hypothetical_prote in_conserved)". The record is from RNAcentral. Lineage: Eukaryota; Euglenozoa; Kinetoplastea; Trypanosomatida; Trypanosomatidae.